RNAcentral lists this ribosomal RNA (382 nucleotides) under uncultured archaeon. RNAcentral's name for it is "bacterial SSU rRNA". It matches the Rfam family "Archaeal small subunit ribosomal RNA", at positions 345 to 727 of the family's 1478-position model. The record is from RNAcentral.
AAACUUUACAAUGCGGGAAACCGCGAUAAGGGGACACCGAGUGCCAGCAUCCUAUGUUGGCUGUCCAUAUGUAUAAAUAACAUGUGUUAGCAAGGGCCGGGCAAGACCGGUGCCAGCCGCCGCGGUAACACCGGCGGCCCGAGUGGUGGCCACUAUUAUUGGGUCUAAAGGGUCCGUAGCCGGUUUGGUCAGUCUUCCGGGAAAUCUGACGGCUUAACCGUUAGGCUUUCGGGGGAUACUGCCAGGCUUGGGACCGGGAGAGGUAAGAGGUACUACGGGGGUAGGAGUGAAAUCUUGUAAUCCCUGUGGGACCACCAGUGGCGAAGGCGUCUUACCAGAACGGGUCCGACGGUGAGGGACGAAAGCUGGGGGCACGAACCGG